This 496-nucleotide ribosomal RNA is filed under the name uncultured bacterium. RNAcentral's name for it is "partial 16S ribosomal RNA". It matches the Rfam family "Bacterial small subunit ribosomal RNA", at positions 29 to 507 of the family's 1533-position model. The record is from RNAcentral.
AUGCACGCUGGCGGCGUGCCUCAUACAUGCAAGUCGAGCGAACAGACGAGGAGCUUGCUCCUUUGACGUUAGCGGCGGACGGGUGAGUAACACGUAGGUAACCUACCUAUAAGACUGGGAUAACUUCGGGAAACCGGAGCUAAUACCGGAUAAUAUUUCGAACCGCAUGGUUCGAUAGUGAAAGAUGGCUUUGCUAUCACUUAUAGAUGGACCUGCGCCGUAUUAGCUAGUUGGUAAGGUAACGGCUUACCAAGGCAACGAUACGUAGCCGACCUGAGAGGGUGAUCGGCCACACUGGAACUGAGACACGGUCCAGACUCCUACGGGAGGCAGCAGUAGGGAAUCUUCCGCAAUGGGCGAAAGCCUGACGGAGCAACGCCGCGUGAGUGAUGAAGGUCUUCGGAUCGUAAAACUCUGUUAUUAGGGAAGAACAAACGUGUAAGUAACUGUGCACGUCUUGACGGUACCUAAUCAGAAAGCCACGGCUAACUACGUG